Nomascus leucogenys (northern white-cheeked gibbon) is the source of this 146-nucleotide small nuclear RNA. It matches the Rfam family "U2 spliceosomal RNA". Rfam says of the family: U2 is a small nuclear RNA (snRNA) component of the spliceosome (involved in pre-mRNA splicing). The record is from Rfam. NCBI's taxonomy places the organism in Eukaryota, Metazoa, Chordata, Mammalia, Primates, Hylobatidae.
ACUAUUUCUCGGCCUUUUGGCUAAGAUCAAGUGUAGUAUCUGUUCUUAUCAGUUUAUUUUACAUUUAUUUAUUUUUUGAGAUGGAGUUUCCCUCUUGUCACCCAGGCUGGGGUGCAAUGGCGCAAUCUUGGCUCACGGCAACCUCC